GUCUAAUUUUUUGUUAUUUUUUAAUAAUCUUUUACAGCCAUAUAAACUGUAACGGAAGUCAAGUCCUCACGGUCUUUAUACUAUGGGCUACACACGUGUUACAACGGUAAAAACAACAAAAUAUUAAAAGAAAUUUGUAAUAAUUUUUAAAAAUUACCUAAGUACGGAUACAUUUCUGAAACUUGAAAUGCUGAAGUUGAAAUCAUUAGUAACCAUAAAUUAGUAUGUUAUGGCGAAUUAAAUAACUAAUCUUGCACACACCGCCCAUCACAUUCGGAGAGUUUAUAAAAUCAGUAAAGGUAUACUAUGUAGUCUAUUUUUUUAAGUCAUUGCAUAAUCUUAUUUUUUUUAAAAGUCCUAUAUUUUAUAAUACCACGUAUUGUAUACUCUUACAAUACUUGUAAAACGGG
RNAcentral lists this ribosomal RNA (410 nucleotides) under uncultured bacterium. RNAcentral's name for it is "partial 16S ribosomal RNA". The stretch from base 1 to 278 matches the Rfam family "Bacterial small subunit ribosomal RNA", at positions 1109 to 1533 of the family's 1533-position model. The record is from RNAcentral.